GACGAACGCUGGCGGCGUGCUUAACACAUGCAAGUCGAACGGAAAGGCCCUGCUUUUGUGGGGUGCUCGAUUGGCGAACGGGUGAGUAACACGUGAGUAACCUGCCCUUGACUUUGGGAUAACUUCAGGAAACUGGGGCUACUACCGGAUAGCAGCUCCUGCUGCAUGGUGGGGGUUGGAAAGUUUCGGCGGUUGGGGCUGGACUCGCGGCUUAUCAGCUUGUUGGUGGGGUAGUGGCUUACCAAGGCUUUGACGGGUAGCCGGCCUGAGAGGGUGACCGGCCACAUGGGGACUGAGAUACGGCCCAGACUCCUACGGGAGGCAGCAGUGGGGAAUAUUGCACAAUGGGCGGAAGCCUGAUGCAGCAACGCCGCGUGCGGGAUGACGGCCUGCGGGUUGUAAACCGCUUUCGCCUGUGACGAAGCGUGAGUGACGGUAAUGGGUAAAGAAGCACCGGCUAACUACGUG
Molecule: ribosomal RNA, 468 nt
Filed under: uncultured bacterium
Lineage: Bacteria
Description: partial 16S ribosomal RNA
Rfam family: Bacterial small subunit ribosomal RNA
Source: RNAcentral